UGAAAUUGUAAAAGGGAAACAAUGUUAAUCGAAUUCCUUUGGAAUGUGUUUUAUUAUGAGUCUAACCAUUACUAUAAAAAAAUAAAGGCAAAAUUCCAAAAUCAUUCAAUGAUUUUGAAAAAGUUAAAGAAAAAAGUAUAGAUAUCGCUAACACGGGCCCUCUAUUAAGGUGGCAUCAAAUUGAUUUCAGUGUCUCGCCCCUCCAUGGCACGAGUUUGCCACGACUGCCCUAUUGAAACCGUGAAGGCUGCGGUGUAACUGCGUUAUGUUUUACUAGCGUGCCUUUAUUUUGAAGGCUAGACUUUACCGGAUACAGAAAGUAUAGAGCCGAGUGUGGCCGAGGAGACCCGAAAGCCGGGGUGGUUUCUGAAGCUGUAGAUUAGGCUUGCAUGUGGAAUACACCUUGCGGUCUGUUUGAAUCCACAUUUGCAAGAUACGACAAAGGCAAAUGUGAGUCUACGUCUUUUACAAGUUAUUUACACCAAAAUACGUAAUAUUAGAUUUCUAAAAUCAUCUAAAUCCAAGUAAAAUGCUCAUUCUUCCAAUAUUUUACCUGCUUGCGGGGCAGCGGAUGUUACGUACGUGACGUGAGGCACUUCCGGUCAGGUUGGCGGAGGAGAGGCGUUGUUUCCAGCCUAGCAUCCUAACCACUGGAGCCUACCCGCCACAAUGGGCGAUGUGUCGCUGCAUUUGACUAACGUGUCCGUGGAGCAGUGUUCUCCAAAUCCAACACCAAGCAGGGACUUUGAGAGCAUGAAGCUGGGUGAUAAACAGAGAGAGAAGACCCCUCGAAGGAUCAUCCAUUUCUCCAGCGGGGAGACCAUGGAGGAGUACAGCACUGAUGAAGAGGAGGAGGAAGGCAAGGAGCCAGAAAGAAAAGACCUGCUUUCCUCCCCAGUUGACGCUGUGAGGUCGAAGAUGACUUGGGCUCCUUAUUUCUGGUUCUACAUGUGGAGAGCUGCAACAUCAACUAUCUCAGCCUGUGACUACCUCGGGGAGAGGAUGGCCUCCUUUUUCGGGAUAACAUCAGCCAAGUAUCAGUACGCCAUCGAUGAAUACUACAGGAUAAAGAAACAGAGGGAGGAGGAGAACGAGGAAACCCGCCUGUCAGAAGAGGCGGAACAUACCUUUGACCAGUCACAUGCUCAGGAAGGAGACGAGCCAAUCACCGGGACGGAACAUGCCGUCGCUCCUCCUGAUGUGACCUACCAGAUCCAAAAUGAGCAUCAGGUAUCUUCUGUCACCAUGGUCGUCCCUGCUAUCGUCACGGCAACUUAACCAUUCUUAGACAUGCACGGGAAAUGUCUGGAUGGUUGUUUGAAAGGAACACUUGUGCAAUUUAAGCAAGCACCGAAUGAACACAACACAGACAUGGCAGUGACAUUGUCACAGAAGUAAGACUUCACCGACGGUCCAGACGUACAAAAUCGAGCAGCCUCCAAAAGUUGCAAGUCAAAUUUUGCUCCUGUGUGCCUUUACUAGACCGUGCCUGGAUCACCACUUCAGCCAAGGCAGCACAUGCACAUAAGACACAUUAGAGGUUGAAACUGCACUUCAUUCAGCCAUGGUAUCAAGAGCAUUGACUUUGCAGCGUCGGGCACACACAUUCACCUCUUUGAUUACGCAUUAUGUACGUUUAUGUUGCACUACGUCUGUGUGGAAGCGCUGCAAUUUUACACAAUUAUUGUCAGAUCAUGUGGCUUACUGGAAAACAAUUUUCUGUGUGACUAGACCACUCGCCACAACUCCACUCAUUUAUGUGCUCAUUAGGUACGCUUGCAAAAAUGCAAGACUUUUGCCUUUAUCAGUACAGCACUGCUCAGUUUAAAUGAAUUUGGAGUAGGUGUGGUCGUAACAAUGUUUAUUAUUCUCUUGCUAAUUUGCACAUGUGCAUCAUAUAGAGAGCUGUUUGUAAUGUUUGGCUCCCAGUACCUCCAUAUCACAAUAAUAUACCGUUCAUGCACUCUAACAGGCUUAGUCCAAAUUCAGCAUUAUUAACUUGAACUUCACUUGGAUUUUGCCGGUGUACCUGGUGUUGUGGCCAUUAAGUGUAUGUCACUGCAUCCUGUGUGUUGAUUUGUAUUUGACUACAGCAACUAGGGGUGUAACGGUACACAUAGUCACAUUUUUUGGUACGGAGCGUUCUGUUCGCUACAUUGAUUCCCCACACGGUACUACACAUUUGAGAUGAAGGAUUGGAAAUGUGCACACGUCCACAAUCUCAGGUAGUAUCCCAAAACGGAGAAAAAUGUGGGAUAUUUGGCACAGAAGUGGCGAUCUAGGUGGAUAAAAACAGUGCGGCCCAGCCUUUGGCCAGCGGGAGUCAUGGCUAGCAAUAGUGCCAAGGAAAAUCAUACAUUAAACACUUUGCCUCCCAGUGAAAUACAUAAAAUAACAAAUACAAGUAGCUAAGACCAAAAGCAGUGUGUUAGUGUUUCGGUUCGGACUUCCGUGUUAUCUGGCUCCUGAGUCCAAUCAAAUUGUUUCCGUCCACAGGUUCAUUUCCUCAUGCCGCUCCGGCUAAAUGCUCCAACUGUGUAAGUGCCCAAGUAUUCAGUAAAAAAACAUCAAUAUGCUGCCAAGAUUGCAAAGCCUGGUCUGUUGCAAGACAAGGAAAAGUGUCUUAUAAAAGAGGGAGAAAAAAAGUCUGCAAUCAAACCCGUGACGCAAAAUAAUAAACUUCCACCCACAAUGCUUUUGUGUUUACGGCUAGAUUACAAGGCCACACACGCUCACUUGUUUACAACAGAUAUUUCUAGAAAUAAUCAAGUGUUCUCUAGUAGGAAAUAUGGAGCACCCAUGUCAAGUGGGUACCGGGAAGUAAGUUAACAUGAUCGUGAUCACGUUGUUCUCAACAAAUUCAUGUUCAUGCGUGACAUCCCAAUGGAGUAUCAGUGCAUUGAAAUGAUGGACAUAUACAAAUAUGUAUUGGUGUAAACACCGAUAGACAUGUUGGAAGUGUUAUAUUUGUUAUGUCUGACACGGAAGAUAAGCUUUGAUCGCCGUGUUUGAACUAUGUCAUGUCUUUGUGCAACACACCAUGCACACUCCCUUUUUGAAGCAAAUCAUUUCAACGGCAUGCGCCGUUAGUCGCAUUAAUCUGCCAACCAACUUAGUGUAACGCACUUUUGACGUUAAUUAAUUGCAUUUUAAUCAUAUGCAUUCAAUGUCUCUGACAGAGAUUAAAUAAAACGUCUAAAGCCGGGCACGCGGUGUCAUCCAAAAUGCACUCCAUUGCAUAGAACACAAUGUUUUGCCAUGAAACCUGAGUCAAUUCAUAGAUUACAAAGAUCUGAAAUUAUGUAAAUAAUGUACAGUUUAAUAAACACACCAAAAAGCCUCAUCUUUUUCUAAUGAUUGACAUUUCAAAAAAGACGUUUCACCUGUGGCCAUGAUUAACUUCUUGGCUAUAUGCAGGCGGAGGGCUGUAAUUCCCUGCUCGUCGACAUCAAACUAUUUGUGUUUUUUUGGACAAUGUAAGCUGUACAGUACCAAAAAGGUUUUCACACACUACCCCAACCAGUACAUCAUCAUGGAAUGAAUUGAGCUAAAACAUUGAACUCUUGCUGUUAAUCUGUAUGACAGCGUUAGAUCUGAAUAAAUAGCAUAAUAAGUCAUUUCAUCAGUGGGAGCCACUCUUCCCUUAUUUCUCCUUUACGGUCGCUGCAAUGGAAGCAUUCAGCAUCGAAAAGAGGACUGCUAAAAAUGCAUACAGUAAAUCAACAUGUAUAUAUUUCUGAUUGGGGCUAUUUUGUUUGACAUACUUCACUCUCAAGGAGCUUGCCUGAUGGCGAUUGUGAUUAUGGAGGUCCUGUGUAAAUAUUUUAUAUGGGCCUAUUUUGUCCCAUACGAUUUCCGCUUCCCGUACGGCAAGUACCACUGGAAGGCGGAGAAACAUGUAGAUUAGAAGUUUUUAACAACGGAGUGUGUCACGCUGAGGUCAGCACACGAACGAAACAAAACUACGAUGCAAAAAAGAUAUCAUGAGACUAGUAACAAAGCAACAGGUGCGAAAAAGGCGGGAGACCGAGGCGGACCAGCAGGCUCCUUACCCACAAACCAGGUAAGAAUAAUACACAUUCAUUAGAAACAUGCAAAACAAAAUAAUCCAGCGCCUUCCUGCUGCAUCUGAGGUGAUUAAUAGUGACAAGCUGGUGUCAAACACGUACCACACGUCCAGUAGCUCCGCCCAGCCCAGGGAGCGUCAAAACAUACCCAAGAAGAACAAAACAUACCCAAUUAAAAUGAAUCAGAUAGUGAAUAGAAACUUAAAAAACAAAACACUACAAACAAAAAGAUGAAAACAACCUCUCGUCUCCGCAGAACGUGACACAAUGUCUACACCCAGAAUGAAACUCGCAGCUCUGCACGGAGUCUGAGGUCUGCACGUCUGCACGUUAACACCAUGACCUCAGGAGAGGGCUAUGCUGACCGGAGUCCUGAUGAUGUGUUGGUGCCCUCGUGUAAAUCAGCCCUAACAGCAUUGCCAAAAAUGGUUUGGGGGGGGGGGGAUGACCGAACCGUGACCUUAAAACCAAGGUACGUACCAAAGCAUGAUUAUUUGGUACCGUUACACCCAGCUAUUUAUGUAUUUAUAACACUUGAUUUAGACAUUUUAUAUUAUUUUGAUGACACUGAAAUAAAUAGUUAAUACCAAAACCACAUCAAUCCUUGCACUGUUCUGCUCUGCUGGCUUGCGAAAUGACACAGAGGGCUGUCACACGUUCAGCAAUGUGUGUAUCACUGGACACAAAAGAGCCCUUGUCACUCUGUUCAGAGACCCCCGCUGUACUCGCUAGUACCUAGUGUAAGUAUUCUGAGGUCAGCAACCUCCACAAUAGUUGCAUUGUCAGUGCAACUGUUGUACACAACAGCCACGUUGCUUUUAUCCGAAUGUCCGCUUUUAGUAAGAUUAUAAUGCUCAGUUUUGAUACACCAGAGAGAAUUCUGAUCCAACUCCUGUGUUGGACGGGUGUAAUUCGACUGUGCCGGUACACCCGACGUGGUGUCCUGGGAGUGUAUUUCAAAUGCUAUGCAAUAAGCAGUUUCCUUCUGCAUCAUUGUGGCGGUGCCAUGAUGCGACAGCUCAGCAGCACAGUAGUCUUGAGAGUAAAAUCGAGCCGUAAAUGAAGCAGCCCGGACACAUUUGGCAAAGCUUCUCCAACACUGACAGACGGUACACCACCCACUGGCGGCCUGCUCACACACAGUCAUGCAACACUGCUUUAUUAGUCAUCACGCUGCUGCUGGAACUUUCAUGUUGUCAACAGGAUAGAAGGUCUGGAAAGGUAAAAGUGGCACCUGUGGAGUUAAUACGGGUACAAAAUGGCUCAGCGGAGCCCUGAAAACACUCAUUUAUUUGUUUCUCAUUCAGCUCUACAGUAUAUGCAUGCUGAGAGCCUCGGAUGGGAUUGUUUUUUCUGUUGGAAAACACUCUCCAUAAAUCCAUAAUACAGCAAUUCUUAUUCAUAACGUGUUUACAUUUGUAUUGAUUCUGCACUGCCAUCGGUUUUGCGUAACACCUUUUUGUUCGUUUGCCAACCAAAUCACUAAGUCUGAUCGAUUCGUGUCAAGUUUUUAUGUAAAUAAAAGAAAAAAGUUGUAGUCCAACAUGACCCUGAUUAGGCAGGCGAUUGAUGGGGAAUUUACCUGCAGUUCCUUGUAAAGCCGCUUGGGGCCACAAUUGUCUUCAACACACGAACAUGAGGUUGCAGUAGUAUUAAGAUGGAUCAUUCUGAAGCUGAUUUACUUUUGAAAAUAGUCUAAUUUUAAAAAUGUAAGAACAAAACUUAAUAAAAUAAAAAAAAUGUAUUAAUAUUUACACCAAUCCUUAUUGUCCAAAUGUUAAUAAGACUUCAAACAGCAAAACCCGUGUUGAAACUUCACAACUUCCACAACUUCCAACUUUCCAUGUGUGCAAAAGUGCAACAGAGAGAAAACUUGUCUCCAUUUCAGCAGCUUCCUUCUGAGAGACGUGAUGCAUGCGGCAGUCAUCAAUCUGUGAUUCAGCGGGAAAAUCCAGAGGCGAGAAGGAAGCAUUGUUAUACAACCUGACCUCACUAGUGAAGCCUUGCAUCGUCACCCGCACGUCUGCUUGUAAAGUCCCAAAGUGCUUCAAUAUUCCCAUUCCGAUCCCUCCCAGCCUGCGCGUACGCAUGGCGGCCUGCAGUUGCAUGCUGCUUUGGGGCAUACCUGACAUUUUUGCAGGCUGUAGUAGUGGUGGUGGUGGUGGUGGGCGUAGGAUAGGAACUGGUUAGUCUUCUAGAGAGACCAGUUUGGUACACUUGAAUGUCAUGUUUGAUGACACAUCUACUCAAUUAACUACUGUAUGUACAAUACGCCUUGUUUUACAGCUACAUAGCAGCACCUUUUGUGCUGUUGGAAGUUCCCCGGAAGGAGCACCUCCAAAGCUUUUCGGUGGGAGCAAAAAGUACUUUGUCUGGACUCGACUAGACAGUUUAGUCUACGCUAAGGGACCGUUUUUCAACUGAGGAUGCUU
Molecule: RNA transcript, 6499 nt
Organism: Dunckerocampus dactyliophorus (ringed pipefish)
Lineage: Eukaryota; Metazoa; Chordata; Actinopteri; Syngnathiformes; Syngnathidae
Gene name: protein FAM177A1-like
Exons: 6
Source: RefSeq, a predicted model, not a curated record